RNAcentral lists this ribosomal RNA (400 nucleotides) under phytoplankton environmental sample. RNAcentral describes it as "partial small subunit ribosomal RNA". It matches the Rfam family "Eukaryotic small subunit ribosomal RNA", at positions 587 to 969 of the family's 1831-position model. The record is from RNAcentral.
AGCUCUAAUAGCGUAUAUUAAAGUUGUUGCAGUUAAAAAGCUCGUAGUUGGACUUUUAUAAUUGAAGGUUGAUCUUCCGUGAAGGAUUGUAUCAACAUAUCAGUUAUACCAUUAUGAAUAUUUCACAUAGAUACUUAAUUGGAUUUAUGGUCACUUGUUGUUUAGGAAUUUCAUACAUUUACUGUGAGUAAAUUAGAGUGUUUAAAGCAAUCUCUUUGGAUUUUGAAUAUCAUUAGCAUGGGAUAAUAAAAUAUGACAUUUCUAUUAUUUUUUAUUGGUUUAUAAUAGAAAAGUAAUGAUUAAUAGGGAUAGUUGUGGGCAUUUGUAUUUAAUUGUCAGAGGUGAAAUUCUUGGAUUUAUGAAAGACAAACUACUGCGAAAGCAUUUGCCAAGGAUGUUU